Molecule: unclassified non-coding RNA, 77 nt
Filed under: Nitrosomonas sp. Nm51
Lineage: Bacteria; Pseudomonadati; Pseudomonadota; Betaproteobacteria; Nitrosomonadales; Nitrosomonadaceae
Source: RNAcentral
AGGAGCUGUAUGAAUCGAGAGAUUCACGUACGGAGUCUGUGAGGAGCUGGAGGUGAAAUUCCUCCGGCUUACUCGAC